RNAcentral lists this unclassified non-coding RNA (231 nucleotides) under Hevea brasiliensis (rubber tree). Lineage: Eukaryota; Viridiplantae; Streptophyta; Magnoliopsida; Malpighiales; Euphorbiaceae. The record is from RNAcentral.
GAAUCAUAUAGUUCCAUCAGUUCAAACAUAUAAUAUCUUAGUGCAUGGUUGGUGCAGAGGAGCUAGAAAAAUUGAUAAAGCAAAUGAAACAGUUAAAGAUAUGGAAGAACAUGGUUUAAGCCCUGAUGUGUGUACUUAUACUUGCUUCAUUGAAGCCUAUUGUCGUGAAAAAAACUUCCCUAAAGUUGAUGCUAUUUUCAAAGAGAUGCAAAUGAAGGGGCACUCACCAAG